This 378-nucleotide ribosomal RNA is filed under the name uncultured bacterium. RNAcentral's name for it is "bacterial SSU rRNA". It matches the Rfam family "Bacterial small subunit ribosomal RNA", at positions 521 to 896 of the family's 1533-position model. The record is from RNAcentral.
UAAUACGUAGGGGGCGAGCGUUGUCCGAAGUUACUGGGCGUAAAGCGCGCGUAGGCGGCCAUCUAAGUUCGGGGUGAAAGGUUCAACGCUCAACGUGAACAGUGCCCUGAAUACUGGCUGGCUUGAGUUCGGGAGGGGGCAGUGGAAUUCCGGGUGUAGCGGUGAAAUGCGUAGAUAUCCGGAGGAACACCGAUGGCGAAGGCAGCUGCCUGGCCCAGAACUGACGCUGAGGUGCGAAAGCGUGGGGAGCGAACGGGAUUAGAUACCCCGGUAGUCCACGCCGUAAACGAUGAGUGCUAGGUGUUCGGGGUAUCGACCCCCCGGGUGCCGCCGCUAACGCAGUAAGCACUCCGCCUGGGGAGUACGGCCGCAAGGUUG